ACGCUGGCGGCGUGCCUAACACAUGCAAGUCAACUUGACUGAAGGAGCAAUCUGACAGUAGAGUGGCGCAAGGGUGCGUAACGCGUAAGUAACUUGCCCAAGGUAAGGAAUAACGUCGAGAAAUCGGCGCUAAUACCUCAUAAUGCAGCGGAUCCGCAUGGAUAUGUUGUUAAAGGUUUACCGCCUUGGGAUAGGCUUGCGUCUGAUUAGCUAGUUGGUGUGGUAACGGCACACCAAGGCUACGAUCAGUAACUGGUCUGAGAGGAUGAUCAGUCACACUAGAACUGAGACACGGUCCAGACUCCUACGGGAGGCAGCAGUGAGGAAUAUUGGGCAAUGCUCGAAAGAGUGACCCAGCAACGCCGCGUGGAGGAUGAAGGUAUUCUAUAUCGUAAACUCCUGUGAGAGCAGACGAAAGACAGAUUAUUAAUCUGGAUGACUGUAUGCUCAGAGGAAGCCCCGGCUAACUACGUG
Molecule: ribosomal RNA, 474 nt
Filed under: uncultured bacterium
Lineage: Bacteria
Description: bacterial SSU rRNA
Rfam family: Bacterial small subunit ribosomal RNA
Source: RNAcentral